Molecule: ribosomal RNA, 1682 nt
Filed under: Salmonella enterica subsp. enterica
Lineage: Bacteria; Pseudomonadati; Pseudomonadota; Gammaproteobacteria; Enterobacterales; Enterobacteriaceae
Also listed under: 1 other name
Description: partial 23S ribosomal RNA
Rfam family: Bacterial large subunit ribosomal RNA
Source: RNAcentral
AAGACAACUUUACGGAGUUGACGAUUGACGGAGCGAAGCGACGUCAAAGCGUUCAUUAAAGUCGAGUUGGCUUAGGGAUACGUUCGUUGGGUAGGGGAGCGUUCUGUAAGCCUGCGAAGGUGGCCUGUGAGGGUUGCUGGAGGUAUCAGAAGUGCGAAUGCUGACAUAAGUAACGAUAAAGCGGGUGAAAAGCCCGCUCGCCGGAAGACCAAGGGUUCCUGUCCAACGUUAAUCGGGGCAGGGUGAGUCGACCCCUAAGGCGAGGCCGAAAGGCGUAGUCGAUGGGAAACGGGUUAAUAUUCCCGUACUUGGUGUUACUGCGAAGGGGGGACGGAGAAGGCUAUGUUGGCCGGGCGACGGUUGUCCCGGUUUAAGCGUGUAGGUGUGUGUUCCAGGUAAAUCCGGUUCACUUUAACACUGAGGCGUGACGACGAGGCACUACGGUGCUGAAGCAACAAAUGCCCUGCUUCCAGGAAAAGCCUCUAAGCAUCAGGUAACACGAAAUCGUACCCCAAACCGACACAGGUGGUCAGGUAGAGAAUACCAAGGCGCUUGAGAGAACUCGGGUGAAGGAACUAGGCAAAAUGGUGCCGUAACUUCGGGAGAAGGCACGCUGACACGUAGGUGAAGUGAUUUACUCAUGGAGCUGAAGUCAGUCGAAGAUACCAGCUGGCUGCAACUGUUUAUUAAAAACACAGCACUGUGCAAACACGAAAGUGGACGUAUACGGUGUGACGCCUGCCCGGUGCCGGAAGGUUAAUUGAUGGGGUCAGCGCAAGCGAAGCUCCUGAUCGAAGCCCCGGUAAACGGCGGCCGUAACUAUAACGGUCCUAAGGUAGCGAAAUUCCUUGUCGGGUAAGUUCCGACCUGCACGAAUGGCGUAAUGAUGGCCAGGCUGUCUCCACCCGAGACUCAGUGAAAUUGAACUCGCUGUGAAGAUGCAGUGUACCCGCGGCAAGACGGAAAGACCCCGUGAACCUUUACUAUAGCUUGACACUGAACAUUGAGCCUUGAUGUGUAGGAUAGGUGGGAGGCUUUGAAGUGUGGACGCCAGUCUGCAUGGAGCCGACCUUGAAAUACCACCCUUUAAUGUUUGAUGUUCUAACGUGGACCCGUAAUCCGGGUUGCGGACAGUGUCUGGUGGGUAGUUUGACUGGGGCGGUCUCCUCCUAAAGAGUAACGGAGGAGCACGAAGGUUGGCUAAUCCUGGUCGGACAUCAGGAGGUUAGUGCAAUGGCAUAAGCCAGCUUGACUGCGAGCGUGACGGCGCGAGCAGGUGCGAAAGCAGGUCAUAGUGAUCCGGUGGUUCUGAAUGGAAGGGCCAUCGCUCAACGGAUAAAAGGUACUCCGGGGAUAACAGGCUGAUACCGCCCAAGAGUUCAUAUCGACGGCGGUGUUUGGCACCUCGAUGUCGGCUCAUCACAUCCUGGGGCUGAAGUAGGUCCCAAGGGUAUGGCUGUUCGCCAUUUAAAGUGGUACGCGAGCUGGGUUUAGAACGUCGUGAGACAGUUCGGUCCCUAUCUGCCGUGGGCGCUGGAGAACUGAGGGGGGCUGCUCCUAGUACGAGAGGACCGGAGUGGACGCAUCACUGGUGUUCGGGUUGUCAUGCCAAUGGCACUGCCCGGUAGCUAAAUGCGGAAGAGAUAAGUGCUGAAAGCAUCUAAGCACGAAACUUGCCCCGA